GGGAACGUCCCAGGGCGAGUUCACAGAGACUGCCGCUCUUCUCCGUCCCGCUCUCCUGCUGCCUUUAGGGCCUUAGGCUCGCUGCCUUAAGAAAUGGCCGAGGAGUCCAGCAAAGCCGUUAAGUACUACACGCUGGAAGAAAUCCAGAAGCACAACCACAGCAAGAGCACCUGGCUGAUCAUACACUACAAAGUGUACGAUUUGACCAAAUUUUUGGAGGAGCAUCCUGGUGGGGAGGAAGUCUUAAGGGAACAAGCUGGAGGUGAUGCUACUGAAAACUUUGAGGAUGUUGGACACUCUACAGAUGCGCGAGAAUUGUCCAAAACGUUUAUCAUUGGAGAGCUGCACCCAGAUGACAGAGCAAAGAUAACCAAGCCUGCGGAAAGUAUUAUUACUACCGUUGAUUCUAAUCCCAGCUGGUGGACCAACUGGCUGAUCCCAGCUAUCUCGGCACUGGUUGUAGCCCUGAUGUAUCACCUCUAUACUUCAGAAAACUAAAUGCAUUCUCAGAAGCCAGUGGAAGAAAAGACUGCUUUGGUCCGGGGAGAAAGAAGCCACCACUCUUAACUUUGACUGACAGAACCCUUCACCUGAAAAUAAUCUGAAUACACCUGUUUUCCUUUCCUCCUACAUUAGACACAAACCAAAACUGUUUCAUUCUUUCAACUACUGAACUUCUAGAGUGUGCCUUCUUAUUCGUCACCUUUGUUUUGAUGUUCCAUCACUACAUCAUUUGCUUAUUGUGGACAAGAUCUUUUAAAACAUACCACCAUGCUGAGCUGUCUGUUGGUAUAUAAUUGUCUUUCAUCUUUAGAAUCUGAUUACUUGGCAGUCAUUUAAUGCGCUUGUCUUUCAGACCCAAGUUGUCUGAGGUGAGGAGGGGUGUCCUUGGGUCAUUUCUUCUGCUGCUUCAUCUAAUUGAAUGAUCAGAUUUUUCAUGUUUUUAGUGUAGUUUUUUUUUUUUUUAAGGAAACUAAGGAAGGCCCAGAAAUAAUAGCUUAAAGAUUUCUAAUAAUUUUUCUACAAAAAACAACCGAAUAGAAAAUAAAAAGAGAAAGUGGCCUGCGAGACCUAGAAAAGAUGCUCUGUCUCAUCUUGGAUUAAAAACACCAGCAGUGUCAACAAGAAGCCUGAGAACCAUGAGACAACAUUGCUGCUGUCCCAUCUCUGAGCUUAAACAGUUUGCACAAAGCUUCUGAUUGCACAGAGAUCCUCAGCUGACAGUUUCUCAGGUUCUACAGACUCUCCUUCAAAGUGAAAACUGCUUUUGUGCCCCCAUAAGGAAAUCUUGAUUCCCUAAUCUGGCUUUUUUUGGGGGAGGGAUCUAACCAGCAUUUAUAGAAUAUUUUCUUCUACUACAUCAAAAUGAACACUUUUAAGCUCAGACGAAACUUUGAUUGAGGUAGACAACAUUGUGGGUCACAAUUCAAACUUAAGAGAAUCAUACAAAGCAUUUUCUUAGACUGUGAAUCAAUGAAGCUAGGCGGUAAUUAAAAAAAAAAA
Molecule: non-coding RNA, 1503 nt
Organism: Odocoileus virginianus texanus
Lineage: Eukaryota; Metazoa; Chordata; Mammalia; Artiodactyla; Cervidae
Source: RefSeq, a predicted model, not a curated record